UUCUGAAAGAGAUUCCAACGAUAUUGUUCCUCUGUGUCAUAAAAUGUUAACUCUGAAAUGUUCCUUUCAUUCUGUUAAAAUUACACACAAAAUUCUGCCUUUCUCUGCCUAUUUCUCUUCAUCUUAUUCCUUUACUCCCUCACUCACUUACACAUUCUUUUAUGCUCUGUUGUAAGGUAGAAACUGAGAGUUUGCAUGAUGGCCUUUUCUCAGACUCUGAAUCUGGUGUAUACAGAUGAACUCAAGGAGCCUGCGAGAGCCAGGGAACUUGAGCUUGAACUGAAGACCAAAAACACAAAGAAAAUCAGUCACAGCAAGCAAGUCAAACCAGUCUUGAUGAAUGAGGAAUGAACGUGGUCUUCUUGUGCACAAACAGAAAAGACUAGAGAGCUGAAAAGUUGCACAUUUCCAUUGCUCCUAGAAUGAGCAAAUCAGCUGUGCAUCAUCUCUGGGAUUUGGGCAGAAAAUGACUGAAUAUGGAAGAUGAAGCCAGUUGAUGAAGAUAUCAAUUCAAUGGCCACCAAGUACUGCACUGCUGCCUGAACCCAUCAGGUAUCUGCUGUGAAGACUGCAUUCACAAACAGCUCUACUGUGACAGCGCAGAUGUUACGGCCCAUAAAAGUAAAUUUCACAACUGAACAGCUGCAAGAUAGUUGUGGAGGGAUUAUUUUGGCCCAUACCUCCAACAAGAAU
Molecule: long non-coding RNA, 693 nt
Organism: Sinocyclocheilus grahami
Lineage: Eukaryota; Metazoa; Chordata; Actinopteri; Cypriniformes; Cyprinidae
Exons: 4
Source: RefSeq, a predicted model, not a curated record